RNAcentral lists this transfer RNA (70 nucleotides) under Bos taurus (domestic cattle). It matches the Rfam family "tRNA". Rfam says of the family: Transfer RNA (tRNA) molecules are approximately 80 nucleotides in length. Their secondary structure includes four short double-helical elements and three loops (D, anti-codon, and T loops). Further hydrogen bonds mediate the characteristic L-shaped molecular structure. tRNAs have two regions of fundamental functional importance: the anti-codon, which is responsible for specific mRNA codon recognition, and the 3' end, to which the tRNAs corresponding amino acid is attached (by aminoacyl-tRNA synthetases). tRNAs cope with the degeneracy of the genetic code in two manners: having more than one tRNA (with a specific anti-codon) for a particular amino acid; and 'wobble' base-pairing, i.e. permitting non-standard base-pairing at the 3rd anti-codon position. The record is from Rfam by way of RNAcentral. Lineage: Eukaryota; Metazoa; Chordata; Mammalia; Artiodactyla; Bovidae. RNAcentral also lists the same sequence under 5 other names.
UCUUGUAGCUUAGUUGGUAAAGAAUCUGCCUGCAGUGCAGGAGACCCAGGUUCGAUCCCUGGGUCAGGAA